This is a long non-coding RNA of Talpa occidentalis (Iberian mole), 297 nucleotides long. RefSeq lists it as uncharacterized. The record is from RefSeq and is a predicted model, not a curated record. Lineage: Eukaryota; Metazoa; Chordata; Mammalia; Eulipotyphla; Talpidae. The transcript is spliced from 3 exons.
ACCAAAAGGCACACCAUUGUGACUGUGGGUCUUUAAGGUCUUGAAUGUAUUGAUAGUUGCGGGACUACAGCAUUGUAGAGAUAAAUAACACCAUGCGUAUAUUCUAAGAUGAUGAAACCAAGCAAAUUAAAGAGCCUACAGCAAGGAAGGUCUAACCCCCAACCUGACAUACACAAAAGUUCCAACUUGUUUUAUGAUCUACAGAAAAUUCGAGGAACCCAAGCUCCAGAGAUCAGCCUCUCAUUUUUAUCAGAGGACAGCUAACUCCACUGCAAAAGAAAUGAAGAGGUGUUGAAA